RNAcentral lists this ribosomal RNA (720 nucleotides) under uncultured archaeon. RNAcentral's name for it is "bacterial SSU rRNA". It matches the Rfam family "Archaeal small subunit ribosomal RNA", at positions 21 to 748 of the family's 1478-position model. The record is from RNAcentral.
CCUGACUGCUAUCGGAUUGAUACUAAGCCAUGCGAGUCAUUGUAGCAAUACAAGGCAGACGGCUCAGUAACGCGUAGUCAAUCUACCCUAUGGACGGAGAUAAUCUCGGGAAACUGAGAAUAAUAUCCGAUAGAACAUUAUGCCUGGAAUGGUUUAUGUUUCAAAUGAUUUAUCGCCAUAGGAUGGGACUGCGUCCUAUCAGUUUGUUGGUGAGGUAAUGGCCCACCAAGACUAUUACAGGUACGGGCUCUGAGAGGGGUAGCCCGGAGAUGGGUACUGAGACACGGACCCAGGCCCUAUGGGGCGCAGCAGGCGGGAAAACUUUGCAAUGUGCGAAAGCACGACAAGGUUAAUCCGAGUGGUUUCUGCUAAAGAAACCUUUUGUCAGUCCUAGAAACACUAACGAAUAAGGGGUGGGCAAGUUCUGGUGUCAGCCGCCGCGGUAAAACCAGCACCUCAAGUGGUCAGGAUGAUUAUUGGGCCUAAAGCAUCCGUAGCUUGCUUUGUAAGUUCUCGGUUAAAUCCAUACGCUUAACGUAUGGGCUGCCGGCAAUACUGCAAAGCUAGGGAGUGGGAGAGGUAGACGAUACUCGGUAGGAAGGGGUAAAAUCCUUUGAUCUAUUGAUGACCACCUGUGGCGAAGGCGGUCUACCAGAACACGUCCGACGGUGAGGGAUGAAAGCUGGGGGAGCAAACCGGAUUAGAUACCCGGGUAGUCCC